This is a long non-coding RNA of Bombus huntii, 837 nucleotides long. RefSeq lists it as uncharacterized. Lineage: Eukaryota; Metazoa; Arthropoda; Insecta; Hymenoptera; Apidae. The record is from RefSeq and is a predicted model, not a curated record. The transcript has 2 exons.
CGCGGUGAGAGUUCAAAGCAUCAAAGAGGCCCGACCAGCGAGAAAUUGCUUAGGAUUCAUCUGCCGGCACGGGACCCUCCGGACGCGUUUCGUUCUCUUCUCUUCUCUUCUCUUCUCGUUCUCUAUCUGUUCUGCGGCCGGGGUAUUGUGAAUACGCCUGGCACCUUGGACCGCGAUCCGACUCUGCUCGAGAGCACGACUCCUUCACCGUGAUGGGCCUCGCAGCACUCGCGGCGGCAAUAUUUUUGGAGAUCGCUGGAUGGAUGGAUGGAGUUUGUAUAGACCGUCGAUAUUGCCACUUGGCUCGCUCAGGGACGAUCGUUAGGUAAGACAAGAUGAUGGCUUGCUUCGUGACACUUUGCGAUCGCGAUUCUUACUGAGAAACGCAGAUUCAGGAAAAGGGUGAUUAGCGAUGAAGUUGACUCGGUGAGUGAUGAAGGGAAUUUUAAAGGCAGAGAAUACGUACGACAACGUUGUGAAGCUUCCGAUGGAAUUGCACCAGGUGCUCAAGCAACCCAGAUGUUGCAACUUAUUCUUCAGAGAGCGUAGGUUAGCUAGGAAAUUGAGAAUAUUCAGCCGUUGAUGAAUCGUUGAUGAGACUUUCAACGCCGAGGAAGCAAAAAGAAGCAAGUGUUCUUAUAAAUACGAAAACGUGGCCGUUCAUUAGCAGCGCCAUCCGGCGGCUAAUUUUUGAAACUGCAUAGACAAAAUGAUGAAACCAUUGAAAAUAUUGCAAGAUUCCAUACUAAUUCUAAUUCUAUGAUUCUUGUAAUUGUCACAAAAGUAUACGCGAUAAAUUACAAUUUUAUCCAUUAAACUGUCAUAGGUUGCUAUGAA